RNAcentral lists this long non-coding RNA (2701 nucleotides) under Homo sapiens (human). Its description in RNAcentral is "non-protein coding HTR5A-AS1:3". Lineage: Eukaryota; Metazoa; Chordata; Mammalia; Primates; Hominidae. The record is from RNAcentral.
ACACGAAGAGCACCACACAGAGCGGCAGGUAGAAGGCGCCUACGGUGGAGAACACGGCGUAGGAAGGCUCGCGGCUUACCUGGCACUCCUCGCUGCCCUCAGAGUACGUCUCUCCCCAGCCAAAAAGCAGCGGGGCCAGAGAGAUGACAGCGGAGAGUGCCCAGGUGAGCGCGAUCAUGACGUUGGAGACGCACUUGCGGGUGCGGAGCGUGUAUUCCAUGUGGCGCGUGAUGGACCAGUAGCGGUCCAGGGCUAUGGCCGUCACGUUCCAGAUGCUGGCCGUGCAGCAAAGCACGUCGCACGCGAUCCAAAGCUGGCACAGCCUCCGACCUAGCUGCCAGCGGCGCCCGGACAGCUCGUGCACCAGGCUCAGCGGCAUGACCAGCGCGGCCACCAGGACAUCCGAGACGGCCAUGGAUGCCACCAGGUUGUGGGGCACGCGGUGGAAGGUGCGUACACGGAGGAUGGUCGCCAGCACCAGCAGGUUCCAGGCGAACGUCGCCGCCACCAGAAAGCCCAGCAAGAGUAAAACAAGUAUCAGGAGAAUGCACUGAGAAAAGAGAAAGUCCUCCACUGGAACCUAGAGGACGGGACAACAUCAUUAAAUACCGGAUUAUUCACAGGGCUGUUUCAAACACCACUUAAAAACAGCUGAUGGUGACUGCCUGCAUGCAGAGCAACUGUGCAUGGCCCCAAUCUGGAAGCAAGCUUGUGCUUCUUUAAGGCAAAUCACCUUCUUGAGGUCAUGGAACUAAUGGGAAUGAGAUGUAAACUAUGAAUCCUCUUCUUUGGAAAAAGUUCUGCAUCUAGUCUCAGGGCCUGUUAUCUGGAGGAAUGGAUGAACUGUGUUGCCCACAGGCGGGCCUCAAUGGAUCUCUAUGAAUCUUGAAAGGCAUUAUGGGCUUGUGAUUAUAUUCCCUACUGAUUCCCCAGGCCACAGCUGUCUGUAUUGAUAGCUAAGUGAGCAGCAGAAUAGUUAAUAAGGACAAAGCCAAGGAUGACUGAGGAUAAUUUGUGAAAAAUAGAGUGUCAUAAAUUUAGGGACUGAAUAGAAUAUUCCCACAAAGGAGAGAUCCAAUGGAGCAUUUCCAGAAGGGACAAACCCUGUUCAGAAAGUCUGGCUUAUCUCUUAAAAAUACACAAAUAAAAAAUCAUAAUAUUUCAGCUUCAUCUUAAAGCAUAGCCCCAAUUUUAUCUUGAAAAACACUGAAAAGGAAAAGAAUCUGAAAAGGUAUAAAACUCCCGUCUGCCAUAUGGUACCUCUGAAAUGGCAGUAUUGGGAAAUAUACCUUCCUGGGUUGUCACCUCUUAUGGGUUAAACUGUGUCUCUCCUUCCCCCCUCCCUUACCCCCUGCCAGAUUUAUAUAUGGAAGUCCUAACCCCUAGAACCUCAUAGUGUGACUAUAUUUAGAAAUAAGAUCUUUAAAGGGAUGAUUAAGUUAAAAUGAGGCCAUAGGAUAGGGCCUCAUUCAAUCUGACUGACAUCCUUAUGAAAAGAGGAAAUUUAGACAUGCAAAGAGACACCAAGGAUGUGUGUGUGCAUAGGAUAGACCACGUGAGAAUAAAGCAAGAAGGUGGCCAUCUACAAGCCAAGGAGAGAGACAUUAGAAGAUACCAGUAUUGGAAGAUUAGAAGAUAUCAAGAUUGGAUUUCCAGCUGCCAGAACUAGGAAAAAAUAAAUUUCUAGUAUGAGCCACUCAGUCUGUGGUAUUUUGUUAUGGCAGCCCUAGCAAGCUAAUAUACCAUCCGACAAAAGAUACUAGCAAAAGAUACAACCACAUAACUGAACGAGGUGCUAUACUGGAGAAGAGGGAAUUAUAGACAUAUAAACAAAUCAUGGGACAUCUACUAAAACCUUUCCAAAAGGUAGUUUGCAGCCAUCUAGCAAUCAUUCGAGUGCAGACUCAGUUGUCUAUUGAGGUUACUUACGGUUUGUAAUCAAGUCAUGUCACUGGCUUAUAGAAAAAUACUUAUUUUAGAUUUUUCUAUAAUGGGAAGGUAUGAAUCUAUUUCAUUCAAGUAGGAGCUGAUUUUUUGGUUUGUUUUUGCUUCUGUUUUUUGAGACAGAGUCUCACUCUGUCAUCCAGGCUGGAGUGCAGUGGCACAAUCUUGGCUCACUGCAACUUCCAUCUUCCGGGUUCAAGCGAUUCCCAGCUAAGUUUUUUGUAUUUGUAGUAGAGAUGGGGAUUUUACCAUGUUGUCCAGGCUGGUCUCGAACUCCUGACCUCAAUUGAUCCAUCCCCAUCAGCCUCCCAAAUUGUUGGAAUUACAGGCCUAAGCCACCACACCCGGCCAAGACCAACGAAUUUUAAUGUAACAGCAUAAUAAACAUGCAUGAUACAAUUUCAGAUUCCACAUCACAACAAAUCUUUAAGGUGCUACCACUCAUUGAGUUUUAAUAUAGCAUCACAGAAAAAAUAUCCAUAAUUAUCUGAAAAUAGUAUUAAAGUACUCUAUUGUCUGCUGUAUAUCUGUAUGAAAGUGGAUGUUCUUCACAAUCUUAAACUAAAAUAACAUAUCCCAACAGAUGGAAUGUAGAAACAUAUGAUGUUCUAGCUGUCUUGAAGAGAUUUGCAAAAAUGUUAAUGCUAUUCAGAAAUAUUUUAUGAAAAAUAAUUAUUUUUCAUAAUGAGGUAUCACUUAUAUAGACAUGUAAUGGGUUUAUUUUAUUUUUAAUAAACAAAUACACAAAUAUGUUGAA